AGGAAGAGAUGCAAAGGACGAAUUUGGAGUGGUUUUCUUUCAAGGAAAAAAUGUAAACGAGGACCAGGAGAAGAUUAAACAUAAUAAGCAGCUACCUUACUCGGGAAUAUAAUUCUGGAAAUGAACCCAGAAGAUGAAGCUGAAGAGAUGGUGCAAAUAUUGAUCUUGACUCACAAAGAAAUCGAAAAUGUGUUGCGUUAAACGCACCUACUCGCCAGGUGAUUUACUAUUCUGCUUUUAUAGAUAACCUUAUAGCUAUCAGAGAAAUAGCAAUGAAACUCUAGAGAAUUCUAUUGCUCUAUUUCCCAAUGUAGUGGUGCUUUAAUUCUUUAGGGAUCAGGUUAUGUAUGCCAUUUUUUACAUAUUCAAACAGGUAUGGAUAUUUUGCGGGCUCCUCUCUUCAGAGAUCCGAUUUUUUUCUAUUUUAGGACGCAGUGUUGUGAUGGUCUGGUUACCUGGUUUUUAUGAUGUUGUUAUGGUGUAGCACUAUCACUAGUGCAUUAGACUGAGAUUAGUUGGUUACAUUUUAAAAUCUAACUUCAUGGUGCAUUUAAAGACACUUUGUUCUUUAUUGUGAAAAUGUCAUACUUGCAUCAAUUUAUGGCUCAUGCUUUUUUUUUUUAACUAGAUGAGAGUUCUGAUUCGUUCUAUUCAUUUAAGCUCUGGACCAUGUGAAAUCCCAGUGUGUUUUGUUUUGACUGCAGACAAUCUUUUGACCUGUUGAUGGGAUUGUUGAUUCCAACAAAUUAAAACCUCGUGAUUUAGUUGACAGUUACCUGAUCUUGGACACACUCUACCUGAUCUUGGACACACUCUACCAUCUGGGUACGAUUCUAGAGUCGAGGCAAUGGACGUUGAUGAAAAACAUUAGAGGGCUGGAGAAGCAGGCAAGUCUCUAGCUUUCUCUAGGCAUGCCUUAUAUGAACAAUGAACAUGCAUUUGUUUUCGUCACAUAAUUGAGCAUGUAUCUACCCAUUUAUCAUACAAUUCCACACAUGUUCUUUUUAUGCAUAACUUUCAUUUUAGACCAUAAAAUACAAUUUUAGUGAUUUGAAGUUGAAUGUAUAAUUUCAAUCGUGUUAUCU
Molecule: non-coding RNA, 1085 nt
Organism: Cucurbita pepo subsp. pepo (vegetable marrow)
Lineage: Eukaryota; Viridiplantae; Streptophyta; Magnoliopsida; Cucurbitales; Cucurbitaceae
Source: RefSeq, a predicted model, not a curated record